AAGGAUGCAUAUCUUAAGAUAUCCGCAUUCACUUUUUAAUGUAAUAUUCCGGAUCACAGUCUGAUUGAUUUUAAUCCCUGUAGUAUCAUAAGUUCCUUCAUUUUCCACCCUAAAAGGAAGAGAGGAAGAGUAAACUGAUUCUGAAGUGUCAAUAGACGUAGGAUUAAAUAGUCAACUGUAAAGGUGCAUUGCUGUAUCAAUUAAGGUGAUGGGUGUCAUGCUUAUGAGAUCUAUGAAUCAUUAACAGGCUUAUGCUCGAAUCGGAAUGGCCAAGGAGGCUGCUGAUGCUGCUACUCAGGCUAAAGAUAAUGAAUUACUUGGGAGGUUGAAGCAGACUUUUUCUCAAAAUGCAGCCGCUUCAUCAAUAUUUGACACACUGCGAGAUCGGUUAUCCUUCCCAAGUGUUUCUUGAUGCCAGCCAUCUCCUUGAUCCCCUCCCUUUGGUGUGAAGCCUCUUGUUGUUACGCAUCUUCUAAAUUAAUAUGAUUGAGGAUUGGUAGCGUUGGAGUAAUGCUGUUCCACAGCACGAUAAAAGAAGCCCUUGGAACCCGUCCGCUGCAUAUCCUCUCUCCUUACCUGUUUUUUCUAUGUAUCCGUGGCAUUUGAGGUUGUGGAAAUGUUUGAAUCCGGCAAUGAUUCCUUGUGUGUUGUUCUACACCCUGUAAAUAGCUUGGCUGGAAAUGAUAUAUGAAAGCAUGUGCUGAUGUUUCUCCCUGAAUUGGUAAUAGAAUUCAUCUGAGCUCUUAACUUUUCCAUGGUUUGUAGUUUCCAUUUGUAUGCGACUGAGUGAUGAAUUAUCCAUGGCAACUGUUCCAAAAUAAACUCUACUCUACCUGCUGGUAUUAUUGCUCAUUUGGAUUGUUUUUAUCCUCUGUACAUUCCGGAAUACUUUGCUGGUUUGGAGAAUAAUUACUCAGGAACUAGUAAAUUGAGAGAUUUUGGGAGACUUUAUAACAACUUGCUAUUUAAAGCUAGUAUCAAGUGAUUGAUAGUUUGAUACUGAGUGGACAAUUCAUAUUGUGUUUGUGUAUCUGUACUGAGUGAUUUGAUGAGUAUCUAAUUUCUUUGUUUUAAUUUGUGUUUUUGACGCCUCAAUUCACGUAAAUAUAGUUCAUAGUCCCAGCUUAAUACGAGUUCUUUUUCAAGUUUGCAUAUUAGGUUGGAUUGCAUAUGUGAAGUAGUUUGAAAUAUGUAUGGUGGAAGUACUAUUUGAUGGUUAGUAGUAAUGUUGUGUCAUAGGAAUCAGACACCAAUGCUGAUUAUACAACUGGUUAUCUUAAUUAAUUAUCUAGUAUCCUUUUAUAAUAUAUCAGAAAUAUCUUGGGCAAUUGGAAUACCGAGUAUGAGGAAGUGUAAGAGGUUAGCUAUAGUGAGUUCGAGGAGAAGUAGAGGUAGGUUUAUCUAGUCUUUUUUUGAGCAACUUUCAUAUAUAGCAAACACAAAAAUAAUAUUUGUAUGCUAUAGCUAUAGUUUGCAUAAUUGCACUCCAUAGCAAACAUAAAUAUGUAUAUUUUGCUAUACAUAUAUAAAAGAAAGCAGUUGUAUAUAAUAUGUUUUUGUUUCGGUAUAUACAUAUACAAAAUAUCAAUUGUAUAAUUUAUGUUUGUAUAAAGCAAGAAAGAGAGAAAGGCAAAAUAGAAUUGGGCAGGGGAAUAUUUGUAUUGUAUAAUUAUAAGUGUAUAGGACGAAGAUAUAUGUAUUCGCAUGUGUAUAUACAAUUUUCUCUCGCUUUAUACAGAUAUAAACGCAAUUUAUACAUUUCUGUUUGUAUAAGCGAGAUCUGGGAGAGGGGGGAAAGGGGAACGAAAAUAUAUGUAUAUAUACAAUUUUCUCUCGCUUUAUACANNNNNNNNNNNNNNNNNNNNNNNNNNNNNNNNNNNNNNNNNNNNNNNNNNNNNNNNNNNNNNNNNNNNNNNNNNNNNNNNNNNNNNNNNNNNNNNNNNNNNNNNNNNNNNNNNNNNNNNNNNNNNNNNNNNNNNNNNNNNNNNNNNNNNNNNNNNNNNNNNNNNNNNNNNNNNNNNNNNNNNNNNNNNNNNNNNNNNNNNNNNNNNNNNNNNNNNNNNNNNNNNNNNNNNNNNNNNNNNNNNNNNNNNNNNNNNNNNNNNNNNNNNNNNNNNNNNNNNNNNNNNNNNNNNNNNNNNNNNNNNNNNNNNNNNNNNNNNNNNNNNNNNNNNNNNNNNNNNNNNNNNNNNNNNNNNNNNNNNNNNNNNNNNNNNNNNNNNNNNNNNNNNNNNNNNNNNNNNNNNNNNNNNNNNNNNNNNNNNNNNNNNNNNNNNNNNNNNNNNNNNNNNNNNNNNNNNNNNNNNNNNNNNNNNNNNNNNNNNNNNNNNNNNNNNNNNNNNNNNNNNNNNNNNNNNNNNNNNNNNNNNNNNNNNNNNNNNNNNNNNNNNNNNNNNNNNNNNNNNNNNNNNNNNNNNNNNNNNNNNNNNNNNNNNNNNNNNNNNNNNNCACUACAUAGCAAUUUUACGUCCUACAUGUAUUAUGCCAUGUAGGACACGUGUGUCUACUUGUUCAAUUUUAUACAAGUUUAAGUGUCUACUUGUGCAUACUCAAAGUUGGAGGGCAUAGUUGUCCACUGAAGUCAAGUUAAAAGUCAUGUUUAUGUAUUAUGCGUAUUAUGCCCUAUUUCAUUCUCCGUUGUUUUUAGUAUGAAUUUUAUAUUUGCUUUAUAUGCCUGAUUCUUGAUAUGAUUACUUUCUACUAAUGAUUCUCACAAAAAUCUGUUUUUGGGGUGCAAACAAGAGUUUGUUCUCAAAUGAUAUCAGAGGGAUUUGCAUGUAUUGUGGAAAUUUUAUUUUCUCUAUGAUUAAUAUCUUUUCGAAUUUAAAAAGAUUUUCAAAUCUCAUAAUUUACGAUCAAGUUAUUCAACAUUUUUUCUUAGAGAACAAUUUUUCACAUUUAAAUUAUGUAUUAGAUAUACUAAUAUCCUAUUUCGUUCAUCUAAAAAUCUUAAUUUGAAUCAAGGAUUUAUCAAAAAUAUCGUCAAACUAAUACACUAGAAAAUGUGAAUUCAUUAAAAAUGAGGGCGUACCACAUUCGUAGGUACCCUAUUCCACUAAUAAUUUCUUCUCCAUUCAACCAACUAAUUAAAGUCGAACCUUUUUAACUAAUUAAGUUUUAUAUUUGGAAGAAGUCAGAGGUUGUCAAUUCUCUAUAUGUCCCCAUGAUUAACAAAAAACAGUUGACUAGUUUGUUGUUUUACCGCCACUUGAAAAGAAAUUGAUAAUGAAGAAACAUAUUAAAAUCCAAGACAACAAUUGGAUAAUAUAAUACUAUAUAUAUUUUGCGUUUCUCCUUACCUAUUUGUUUGUUUUAAAAAAAUAAUGAUACUAUAUUAAAAAAAAUAAAAAUUUACUGUUAUGCUCUUAUGUUAUGUUUAAGAUAACAAGUUAUAAUUUUAUUUUAUUUUUUUAAAAAAAGAAGACAUUUCCAAUAUUUUACCACUUAAGUCUAUGAUACAUAUUAUCCUUUUUGAAUCCAGGUUCAUACAAAUUUAUCUUUUGAAUUAUGUCAUAGCAAAUUCAAAAACAUGUUUAUCAUGUAAACUUAAGUCAUGAUUUGUAAACUCUUUACUUUCCUCCUAAUUUCUAAUUGGAGAUUUGCUUUAAAAAACGUCUAUAUUCUACACAUAUUUAGAAAUUUGCUAGUCCUGCUUGUCUAGACCUCAUUAACCCGCCUUCCAGGAAAAGCGUCACAUAAUUAAACAUGGCCGCAAAAAUUGAUAUGGUGGGAUUACUACAUGUGAAGGACUUGAAAAGAAACAAAACGUUUACCCACUCAAAGCCAAUAAAGUUAGCCCUUAAGUCAACCUAAUUGAAAGUUCAAGCUCUAACUAAUAGGAGUAACAAAAGUUCUAUACGUUUGACUUGCUUGCUCUUUAUAAUAACAACCUAUCUGUGUAGUUCUAUAAAUAUAAGAGAAACUUUCACAUAUAGCAAACAAAAAAAUCAUAUUUGUAUGCUAUAACAAAGUUUGCAUAAUUGCGCUCUAUAGCAAACAUAUAUAUGUAUAAUUCGCUAUACAUAUAUACAAAAAGAAGACAAUUGUAUAAUUCGUUGGCUCCUCUUCAAAAUUGUAUAAUUACGCUGGCAGACCAUUUAUAUAAAUUGUUGUUAGUCUCUCGUUUGUAUAAAUCGUUGACAAACAUAAAUUAUACAUUAUACAAGCAUAAAACUGGGCAGGGGAAUAUUUUUAUUGUAUAAUUAUAAGUGUAUAGGACGAAUAUAUAUGUAUUUGCAUGUGUAUAUACAAUUUUCUCUCGCUUUAUACAAACAAAAACAUAUAAAUUGUUGUUAGUCUGUCGUUUGUAUAAAUCGUUGACAAACAUAAAUUAUACAUUAUACAAGCAUAAAACUGGGCAGGGGAAUAUUUUUAUUGUAUAAUUAUAAGUGUAUAGGACGAAUAUAUAUGUAUUUGCAUGUGUAUAUACAAUUUUCUCUCGCUUUAUACAAACAGAAACACAAUUUAUACAAUUAUGUUGUAUAAAACGAGAAAAGAGAGAAAGACAAAAGAGAACUGGGCAGGGGAAUAUUUUUAUUGUAUAAUUAUAAGUGUAUAGGACGAAUAUAUAUGUAUUUGCAUGUGUAUAUACAAUUUUCUCUCGCUUUAUACAAACAGAAACGCAAUUUAUACACUUUUGUGUAUAACGCGAGAGAGGCGAGCACAGAGAGAGUGAGCGAGAGAGGAGAGUGGCGAGCGAGAGUUUGAGGGAGAGAGGCGCUGACAAACAGUUUGCUAUAGGACACAAUUAAAUCAAAGUGUGGUUAUACCAUUUAAUUUGAAUUAAUAGUUUGCCAUUAUGUACAAUUAACAACAAAAUACUUAGUGAAAUCUCGCCAAAUAAAAUUUGGAAAGGAUAGAGUGUACGCAGAUUUUAUCACCAUCUCGUGUAGUUAGAGAGGUUGUUUCCAAAAGACUUUAGGCUGAAGUGCAUUAAAUUCGAGCAAAAGAAGAAAAAUAAAAUGAAGAAAGUAUAGUUGUUAAUAAGAAAAACAGUGCAAAGUCUACCAGAAAAAAAAUAAUAACAACAACAAAAUAGUGCGAUACUCGAAACACAAUAACCAAUAUAUAUAUGACAAAAAUUAGCUAGUAUUACGGCCGGCGCUAAUUAACAAGCCUAAACCUACGCACGACAAAACAACACUCUAAUACUACUAAUCUUCUAUACCCAGAUGCGGAGCCAGGAUUAAGAGUUUGGGGGUUCUAACUUUUAGAACAUAAGAAAAAGGUGUUCGAACCGACAACAAAUGUGUGGAAAGCAUUUUCACCGACUGCUAAUCAAUUUUCUAGGGGGUUCACAAGUUAAUACACACACACACACUAUAUAUAUAUAUUAUUUUUUAUUUUUUAUUUUUUAUUUUUUUUAAUACAAAUACAAACUUUACGGGAAAUCUAGUGGGUUCGUCCGAACCCACGAACCCACGCCUAGCUCUGCCUCUACUUCUACCCUAAUAUAUAUGCGACCUUCACUCCCUCCUAUCUAGAAUCAUGUAUAGUUCUAUAAUUAAGGUUAAAAAAGAAUGAGAUAUACAUCGAUCUUACAUAUACUUUUAUGAAAUUAAGAGGUUGUUUCAAACAAGUUUAAAAGAAAUAUAAGAGUCAAAAACAAUGGAAAACAAAAUAGGACGAGAGAAAGUUGCUCGGAUGGAAAGCACCCCUCACUUUCAACUCAAAGAUUGCGAGUUCGAGUCACCAAGGGAGCAAAAGGGGUGAGAGCUCCUAGGGAGGGUAAAAAGAAAAAAAAAGACUUUGCUUGACUCUUUAUUUGUUCUAAUUAAGGAUGAUUAAUUUUUCAUUUAAUUUUUGUUGGGCAAGUCCACAUCCCUUCUAGUAGAAAAAAACACUCAACAACUUUGCAUGUCCAGACACAAUAUUAUUAAAUAUUAAUGGUGAGAAAAUGAUCUCCUUCACAACUGCCACCACAGAAAAAAGUCGUCGUGGACAUGAGAAAACUUAGAAAAAGUAGAGAAGAGUUAUAAAAAAUUAAAUAUACUCUUUAACUUUUUUCUGUUUCGGUAAGGUAUAAGUAUAUACUGAAGCUCUAAUUAAUUAAUUUGAAUUGGCAUUGCGUAAGGCUCAUCUAAAGAUGAAGUGCUCCCUAAUAAAAGAAAUCUCUUAUCUAAAACUUGAACCCGACAACUCUGAUUAAGGAUAAAAGAUCCAUACUCCUUAUUUUUCUACAAUUUAAGAGAAGUCGGCAUGGGUGACUCUUUACCGCUAGCCAGGAAGGUGUCAUGUUAGAAAUAUUUUGCAUCUUUUAAUUAAUUUUUCAUUUAACUACUGAUUAAUUUGUCCUAAGUACUAAUUAACGAGACAAAUUGUCACUAGUUAUGCAAUUAAUUGACAAAGUCCUUUUGAUUGUGAUAUACUCAUUCACCUUUAAUGACGUAAUGCCAUGAGUACGACUGUCUGAAUAUUCGUGGAAACAAAUAAUGUAAGAUUUUUCCAAUUGAUUUGAGUAUAAAUACAUGACCAAAUCAAUUAAAAUUGUAACCUCACAAGUCACAACCUUAGAAGUGUCGAAGUUUUAAGAAAGAGAGAAACAAUGAAGGUACUAUUUGUACUUUUAUAUAUAUUUUCUUUAUAAGAUUAUAAGUCGAUCAAAUUCACUUAUAAGUAUAUCAAAUGUGCUUACGAGUAAAAAUCAAUCAAAAAUCACAAUUUUGUUAUUUUUGGCUUAUGAUUUUACAACUUGCAAGCACUUUUAAUUUGAUAUCAACUCUUCUAAUUAUCUCUCUAUUUUGUUUCGUCCAUAAAAUUUAUUUAAAUUUAUAUUAUUAUUUUUGAAUAGCUUUAAGGAUAUCUUAGUCAUCUUAACAGAUUUAAGUGUUUAGCAACACCUUUUAACCAAACACACUAACAAGUUUAUUAUAUCUACAACUAUUCUACACCUUUUUCUAAACAUGCAACUAUUUAUUUAUAAAAUCGAUUUCUAACACCUGAAAAUGCUUUUCAGUGCUAUGUUUUUAUGUGUAUCCAUUAUUUUUAAUCAGCUAACUAACCCAAACCAACCAAUGAUUAAUUAGUAUAAUUAUUGAUAAUUUAUAAUUAAAUGCAGCUAAAGGUAGUUGUUGAUGUGUCUGUGAAUGGAUGUCAACCUCGACCAAAUUUGAAGAAUUGUAUUUUAGGAUGGUUGAAGCCAAUGGUACCAUGCUUAUUUAAACAAACUACUUGCAAAAAUAAAGUCAUGACAAUAGCAGCAACUUUACCAGGUACGUAUAACAAUAUUAUAUACUAUAUUAUUAGUAUCAAAACCUUUAUACAUAUGUAGAUUAUUGUAUAAUAAGUAUACAUAAUUUAUUAUAACAUUGUAUACAUGUUUUGUAAACUAGACAGUUGGAACACAUUUUUUUUCAUGUGUCACUUAACAUUAGAGAACUCGCUCUUUUUUAUUUUAAAGUCAAAGAACUAUUAUUAUAUCACAUUGUUAUAGUGGAUAAAAUUUAGUAAUCAUACGAUACGAUGAAAUAAAUGGUGUGAUAGAUAUAAUUAACUAGACAUGACAUGAUUUAUUCAUGUUUGCAGGAGUGGAGAAAGUAAGUUUAGAAGAAGAAAAGAACUUGCUGACAGUGAUAGGAGAGGGAAUAGAUGCAGUGGAGCUGGUUAAUAUAAUUAGGAAAAAAGUGGGAUUUGCUAAAAUAGUGAACCAAGGUCCAGAGCCAGUUGAGAAAAAAGAAGAAAAGAAAAAAGAUGAUCCAAUAGUGGUUAAUUCAUGUAAUUGUCAUAGUAAUUAUAAUAAUAGCAUAAUUCCUAGGGUUGAAAUGUGGGAAGUUAAUCCUUAUAAUAACUACUCAUGUUUUCCAUUUUGAUGAUGAGACUUCUUUGAGGAAAAAUAAGAAGAAUUAUCAUAUUCUUUUUGUUUCAUUUCAUGUAAUACAAUAUUAUUAUUUGGAGAGUCAAACAAAUUUUCUGUUCAUGGUGUUUCAUUAUCUCAUUAGAAUUAAUUAAUAUGAUAAGGAUUAGUUUCUUUUGUUUGUACUUAUUCAUGUUGAGAAUUUGUAUUUUUAUUAUUAAGGAAAGGUUGUAGUUUAAUUAGUGGUAAGAAAAUAACAACUUAUACUUCCUCCAUCCCAAUUUAUAAGUUAUCAGAAAAAAAGAAAAAACUUUUGAAAUUUAAAUAGUCUCAAACAAGUCAUUAAUGUUUGAAAAGUGUCAUCUCUAGAAUGGACUGAAAAGAAAGUGACAUAUAAUUAAGAUUAAAAAAUAUACCUUUUAUAUAAUUUCUAAAUACAUAAAUUUUACUUUAAAAUAAUCUUAAAAUUUGAUGUUUAAAUUCACACCAAAAAUAAAUUUGUUCAUUGCUCUGAAUUGCAUCACAUAAAUAUAUUAAAGUGGAAGGGGCGGAGUAGUAUAUUAUAUCAUUAAUAAAUUUGUAUCGGCUUUGUACGAUCAUAAAAAGUAUAUAAUUUUGAUGACUUGAGAAACUCUGUGGAUGGAUAAGAGUACACAGAUAUUUUUGUUUUGUUAGACAAUUUUAUGGUGUGGGAGUUGCACUUCCAAAAUCCUAAUAAUUAAAAAUUGUUAAUAUUAUUCUUUUUAAAUUAAAAAUAAAGAUAAUAGUGACAUAUAAAAUAUAAAAUGAAAAUGAGAAAAGUAUUAGUCUUCUCUAGGAGAGUCAUGUCAAUUUUGUGUUAACAUAUGACAAAUUAUAUAAUUAUUAUUUAGCCUACGAGUCAUCUUUGAAUUAUUCAAACGGGGUCUUAAUUUUAGGACCAUUAGAUAUUUAUUUAGGAAGUCUCAUAAGUAGAAAGAUAAUAUACUUUUUCCGUUUAUUUUUAAUUAAAAAUAUAUAUUUAUUUUUACUUAUUUGGUUUAAAAAAUCAAAAUGUAAUUUACUAUUUUAUACUUAUUUUAUCUUUGUUAUUAUGUACUCCUAUUAGGUAUAUGGCAAAGUCGAAUUGUAACUUUUUUUCACAUCAAUAAUUAAUGAAGACAAAGUUUAAUGGGAAAAAAAGUAUAUCCGUUCACAUUUAAAUGACGUACAACAUGAACGGAGGGAAUAUUUGAUAAGGAAAAGAAGAAGAAAACCUAAUUAAUACGUAAAAUUUUGUGUUUGAAAACUUCCCUUUUUUGUUUACUUUUCAAAAAAUCAUGGUUACUAAUCUUCAGGUAAAUUUCCAAGUAUUUAUAAUCCAAUCUUUCAGUAAAAUUACCAUGAAAUUAUUGACUUGACUUUACAAUUAAUAUAUGUGAGAAAGUAGUUUUACAAUCUUGAUUCGACGUAAUUUAUGAUUUUGUCUACACAAUUUUAGAAUUUUGUGGAAGAAGAAGAACUUAAGCAUCCAAAAAAAAAGAGAUCAAAUUGACACUCAUCACCAGGUAUGUAAUAGGAAAAAUUACAAAAGUAUACUACUUAAGACUUCUAUUAACAAAAUAUCAAUAUACUAUAUUUAAUUACAAACUAAGUUUUUAAAUUACAUACAUAACAAAACAUUUAAUUUUUUAUUUUACUUAAAAAAAAAAUUACCGAAUUUUCUCUCUCUGACUCUUAGUAGUUUGUGUCAUAUUAUGUGGAGUGUAAUUAGGUAUUUAAUUUUACCAUAUAUUCUCUCUCAUUAAACAGACUCACAUCCACAUGUUUGUUUAUUCCUCUUUUAUUUCCUUUUUUAUGUUUUGUAGUAAUUUAUUGGGAUUUCUUUUAUAUAAAGAUUUGUGGUAGCAAUAAAGUUGUUACAGUACUAUAAUUGAGGUAUAGUUCCAAGAAAUAUUACAAAACCCUUUUCACACGUUUCAUUAUUUUUUUAUUUUCCUUUUUACGUUUUGUAGUCAUUUUCUCUGUCCAUAUUGAUUUAUUCCUUUUAUUUAAAGAUUUUUAUGAUACCAAUAAAAUUAGUACAAUUAUCUAUAAUUGAGUUAUUUCCAAGAUAUAUUAGGAUUCCUUUUUUCAACGGUAUAUUGAGAUAAUCCUUCAAUUUUAUUCAUCCAUAUCUCUUAAACCUUACAUCUUCUUCACUUAAUCGCUUGUCAUUCCAAUUAACCAGAGGCCUCACCAUAAUUUCUAACGCCUAACUAUCCAUCUUCUUCUUAUCAGAUUCUAACGCCUAACAAAUUUUUUACUUGAACAGAAUAUGUUAAUUCUGGUAAUAGUCCAAACCAAAAUAUUAACUUUUUAUAGUUUUUUUUACAAUUCACCGUUAUAGGUUGGUAUAUAAUUCAAACUAUUUGAAUUACUUUAUACAACCAUUAUUAUGUCAAUUGGUUUUAGUAUUACUCAAAUAUUAUACCAAAUCUAUUUUAUUUGUGCUUAUUUGUUUUCAUUCAAUGUUUUAGUUUGCUAUAUAUACCAUUAAGUUUACCAAGUUUUGUGUAGUUUUUAUUAUAAGAAAACCAUUUUUUUUACAUUAACAGAGUGAGUUUUUUUUCUGGUAUCAUUCAAACCAUGAUUUUAACUUUAAGUAGUUUUUUCAAAUUUAUUGUCUUAGGUUGCUAUAUAAUGCAAACAUAUGAUCCCUACAUACGACCAUUAUUAUGUUCCUAUAUGUUUACCAAUUUUCGUUCCUAUUUUAUCCUAAGUUCACCAAAUUUUUCCUUUAACAGAUUGUAUUUAUUAUGGUUCCAGAUUAAACCAAUGUAUUAACACACAUCAUUUUUUCAAUAGUCCUAUAUUUUUCAAAUAAUUGGUUUAAUCAACUUUUUACAUUAACAUAGUCUAUUAUUUCUGGUAACCAAGUUCUUCACAUUAACUAGUUUUGAAUUAUUUUUAUUUUAGGCUGGAAUUAUACCAACCUCACUUGCUCAUUCACAACACGAUUAUUAAAUGAGUUCAUGAUAGCCAUUAAUAACAAUUACGAAUUCAAUAAUAUUAAUAAGAUACCAAAUAGGAAUCAACUUUCAAAUAAGGCUUCAUUGAGUUCAACUGUAUAAUCAAAUAAAUGAGUUCAACCGCAUAACUUUCUGCAAAGUAAAAAUAACAAUAAAAAUACUAUAACGCUAAUUCUUAUGUGAUUUGUUUGGGCAAGUCUUCUUGUUAUGCCCAGAUAAAUCGCAUUCACUAGAGGUGACUUUUCUUUUCUUCCCCUUUCUUUCGAUGAAUUCCUUUUUGCGAUCAUUUUUUGGUGGUCUGCUUAGUUGCUUUCUUGCAAUUGGUGGUAACAUUACCUCUUUCAAAACAUGUGAUGGAACAUCCCAAGUGCUUUCGCAAGGCAAGGGUUCUAUUGAUAUUGCAUAUAUAUCCUGAUAAUCCUUAUUAUUGUAAUAAGCUGAAUAGUAGUCAUCGCAAUAUUUAUUCCUAUAUCUGAUAGCAGCAAUUGCAUGACUACAAGGGAUCUCAUCAUGUUGAAAUCUGCCACAACGGCACAUACCAAUAUUCAGACAUACUGUAAACCUCUUUGCACCAUCUAUAAAUGUAUGAAGGUAUUCUAUUGAUGAGCAUACCUUAAAUUUAAAACAUACAUUAUCAAUAAUAAUACCAAAACAUACUAUGUAUAAUAUAGUAUUGUUAAUACUUACUAUGUAUUGAAUUACAAACUCUUAAUAAUUUGCUUACUACAUCCAUAUAUUUAAACAUCUUGGUAGUUACAUUGGUAAUUGAUGACACACAACUAAGUUUUGUUUUUGAUACACUCUAGUAAGUAACUAACUUUUUCACCAAUUACUGUACUAAUAAUAAAUUGGCAUACUUGUGGUAAUUCACACUAACAGGUAUACCAAAUAAUUUAUUAUACCAAUAAACAUAUCAUAAGUAUUCUGACCUUUAAGGUAUUACAAUUUAGACCAAAAAAUACAUCAACACAUACCACCAAUUCAUAGAAUCAACUAUUCGAGCAUAAAUACCAGAUCACAUACCAAUCAACAUAUUAUCAAUUUUUCAAUUUAUUAUAUACACCAAUUCAUAAAAUACACCAAAAAUGUAUCAAUAUAUUAUCAAUUUUUCAAUUUAUUAUAUAUACCAGUUUAGUUAAUUAAAAUACACCAAAAAUGUACCAAUAUAUUAUCAAUUUUUCAAUUUAUUAUAUACACCAAUUCAGAUAAUCAAAAUAAACCAAAUAAUGUACCAAAAUAUUAUUUUAUUGUUGUAUUUUAUAUAGCAAAUAAUACAACAAAAUACACAUAUACAUGCACCUACAAUCUUACUUGCAGUUGGUAUGUGUAACACCAUAUCACAUAUCAAAAGUAACUAUUGAUACAAUCUGUUAACAUACUCCAUUCAACAGACCAAUUAAAACACAUAAUUUAUGAUGUUAUUUUAAGUUGUUGCAUUAAUCAAUUAAACCUAAAAUUUUAAAAAAAAAUCUUAUUCGACACAUCAGAUUACAAUAAAAAUCAUAUGAAGUUAUUGUAAUUACACCAAAAUCGUUAACAUAAAACAGCGAAUCAAUACCAAAAGAAUAAAAACCCAGUUGUUGUGAAAAACUCAAUAUUAUUCCACAAACAAUUGAUAAAUUUUAAUAUUUAUUUAAUAAUUAAACCAGCAUAUUGAUGCUCCAGAACAUCAAACAAAUCAUAUGAAUUUACAUUCCACCAAAAUCGACAAAAUAAACCAAAAGAAUAACUACAAAAAAGAUUAAAAUCGAUAUGUUGUGAAAAAAUCAAAUACAACCACGAAAAAACCCACCAUAUGAACUACUUUUUAUCAAUUACCUGAUGAGUCUCAUCGCCCGCUGUGUUGAAUUAGAAUUAAAAAAUUAUUGGUAUGCAUUUUGGAUCGUCGAACUUAGUAGAGAAGAAGAGUUUUAUUUUUGUAUGAAACCUCUCUUCAUGGGAGAUAAUAUAACAAAUUGGAGUAAAUCAAGGAAAGUAAAAUAAUUGGAGAAAUUUAAGGGAUACGUGAUAUUUGUGGUUGACUUGGUAAACGUUUUAAAAAAUAAAAUUCUAGUUUUGAAAAAAAAUAUUGUUAUAUAAUUGAAAAAAAAGUAUUGCUAUAUUGAUGUAAUUAAGACUUUAAGUUGUAUAUUUAAAUUUUUUUCCCUAUGUAAUAUUUAGAGUUAUCGCAACCUUAGUCAUACAUCAUAGAAUAAAAAAUAUUCGCGCUGUUACCUAUCAAUAUUUAUAAUUUAAACCCUUAAAUGAUAUACAGAGACUAGGGGUGUACAUGGCCGAUUGGCCGGGUUGGUUCGAAUUUUUCAAAUAUCAAAUCAAAUCAUUUGUGUCGGAUUUUUAAUUUAUAAACCAAACCAAUAAAAUUCGGUUUUUUCAACCUUGGGUUUUUUUGGAUUUUUUCGGGAUUUUUGGAUGUUUUCGAUAAAGUAUUCAUACAAACAUAUAAUUUACUUGUACUUGAAAUAUUUCUUUAGUCCUACCAAAAUACAACUAUCUAAGGUGUUUCUUAAGAAAAUAACACAAAAUAUGAAGAUGUUUCUUAAAAAUAUAACACAAUAUGAUAUGAUUAAUGACACUAAAAUAUCCAACAAAAAUAAUAAUAAUGAAAUCGCGUAAAACAAAUAUUGCAAAUUAAUAAGUAAUAAUGACAAUGAUCAUAAUUUAAAAGUACUAAAUCAUGCUAAAAUUAAGUUUAAUAAGUAUUAGUUACAUUACUAAAUAUUUAAGGAAAAUUAAAAUUAGAUUAUGUAUUUUAAUUGUCUAAACCAAUGUAAAACUAAAGAACAAAUAUUCAAUUUUAUUGUCAUUCUUAGUGUUGAAUUGAUUUUCUUUUUGCAUUAGUAUUAAUUUGAUUUUGAUUUAAGUUUUAUUAUAAUUACCAACAUCUGUGGACUAUAAUAUUUAAUGGACCAUUUAGAAUUCUAAGUUUUAAACUUGAAAUAAUAUAUUAAAAGAUAAAACUAUGAAAAAGUAUAUAAGAAAUAUUUAAAAAUUAUAUCAAAGUAAAUAUUUUUAUGCAUAAAAUAAAAUUUUUAAAUUAUAUAUAUAAUGUCGGGUUAGUUUGAUCUCAGGUUGGUUUUUUUAGUUAAAACUAAACCAACCCAAAUAUAGUUAGGUUUUUUUUCAAUACCAAACCAAGUCAAACCAAACCACUAGUCAAGUUUUUUUUUUCGAUUCAACUCGAUUUAUAAUUUGAUUUGAUUUUCAAUUUUCGAUUCGAUUUUACACACCCCUAACGGAAACUUUCAUUUGCAUACCAUCUAUAUACAGUGUGUAUUUGUCUAUGAUUGAAAAGAGAAAAUUUUUAACAAGCUAUUGAGAGAGAUGUUAAAAGACCAUGUAAUUAUUUGGUUAAGAAAAUAGAAAUCACUACAUAAAAAAUGAUCUUUAGCGGCAAUUAGUUAGCAAUUGCCGCUAAAUAUUUAAAUUAGGAGAUGAUUUAAAUCUCCAAAGUCUCACUAAGGGAGAGUCCCCAGUAAAGCCUUUAAUUUUCUUCCCAAGUUUUAGCAGCCAAGGAUAGUACCCCAGCUGUUAUAGGAUAACCAUGUCAAUAAGUUCUGAGUUUCAUCAAGUACUGCUCAGCAAGAAAAAGAUGAUUAUCUAUGUGCCAUGAUAAUUUUAUAGUGGCAACAAUGCUCUUUGACAAUUAGAGUGACAAACUUCCAGAAUAGUCUCGUCUUUCUACUUUUUUAGUUACCAUUCUUUUCUGCUUAACUUCUAUUUAAAUGUCGUAUUAUUCAUAUAUUGAUAUAGGAUGCAACAUGAGUUUGAGGUGACUACAAAACAGGCCAUCUUUAUGGAUUCAAGUAUAAGUGAUACAAUUCGUACAUGCAUUGUGCUGGGUAACCAUCGUGCUGCCAUGAAAGUCAAAACAGAAUUUAAGGUCUGUACCGUCUCUUUUGGCUCACAGUGAUGAUGUACUUCUAUUUCUCUGUCUUAUUAGUGAUUUCUGCAUCCUCUUUUAGGUACAUGUGGGUUCAACUUCUAGAUUUAUCCAAUUUAAAGUGCCCUUAAUUUUAAUUUUCUUGGAUGAUUCAAGUAUCUGAAAAGCGAUGGUAUUGGCUUAAAGUUUUUGCUCUGGCAACAAUUAGGGAUUGGGAUGCCUUGGAAAAGUUUUCAAAGGAAAAAAAGCCACCAAUUGGUAAGUCCCCUUAGUAGCUUAACAGGAGGAAAUCACUGACUUUCCCUAAUAUUUCAACAGAAGAUCUGUAAAUGCAUUUCCCCCUGUGAUAUUUGUAAUAUGAUCUGGAUAUUUAUUAAUUUUCUCUUGAUUGAUAUGAUGGAUUGUUUUUAGGAUAUGAAUGUUAAGUUUAAUUCAAGUAGGUUUACUUUGGUUUUGCAUUCCAAGGAGCAGGAUAUUAGAUUGAACAGUUAGAACUUGAAUUAGAAAAUGUUAUAUGCGAUACAUAUUAGGGGUAUGACACCUGAUAUAGGGUUUCUGCAAGUGUGUCUCCCAUAUUAAUAGAGGUUUACUAUAAACCGUAAGGCGUCUACAAAAGUGGCUUUCCCUGCACAACUGCUAUAUGUAAUGCUGCCUCUUUGGAUAUCUGAAAAUUCUUUGCUGCUUUUAACCCCUACUUAAUUUGAUCAGUUCUUGAAGUUGAAAAAGUUAAUCAAUUUCUGAAGUAGCCUUCACUUAGAGUGGCAUUUUAGUUAGUUUGAGCUACACUUCCUCUUUAAUGGCUUGAUAUGCUUUAUUAUGUUUUUUGGUCAAACUAGAUUUUGUUGUAGCCAUGGUGAUCUCGCUUUCUUCUUCUUUUUGUCAACAAGUACAAUGUGAAAUGUAUUUCUGCUUCUUGUGACUGCCACUGAAAGAAGCACCUUGGACUUGUUCAUAGACAUUCCAAGCAAGUCCUUUUUUGACCAUAUACUAUAUGCUAACGAAGGCUAAUGGAUAUCUUAUAGUCAUCCGUUUUUCUCCUGUUUUUUCUCUUCUAGGUUACCGCCCAUUUGUCGAAGCAUGUGUUGAUGCAGAUGAGAAAGGCGAAGCACUAAAGUACAUACCAAAGCUGACUGAUCCUCGUGAAAGAGCAGAGGUUAGUGUUGUAUAUGUUAUGAUAUUUCCACAUUUGGUCUACAGACAUGUUUGACAUGGCAUGUAGUCCCGCAUAGUUUUAAGUUUGAGUUUUGAACUUUACCCACAUGUGGUCACUAUCCCUGCUGAGAUGAUUUUGCUAACAAAUGAAUUUACUAUAGAAAAAGUAGUUACUCCCUUUUCUUUUCACCUAUGCUUGUGAAAAGCUUGGGUACUUAUAUCUUUACUGGCUAGAAAAAAACAUUUAGCCUUAUACCUCUAAAAUAGAACUUGAAUUAGAAAAUGUUAUAUGCGAUACAUAUUAGGGGUAUGACACCUGAUAUAGGGUUUCUGCAAGUGUGUCUCCCAUAUUAAUAGAGGUUUACUAUAAACCGUAAGGCGUCUACAAAAGUGGCUUUCCCUGCACAACUGCUAUAUGUAAUGCUGCCUCUUUGGAUAUCUGAAAAUUCUUUGCUGCUUUUAACCCCUACUUAAUUUGAUCAGUUCUUGAAGUUGAAAAAGUUAAUCAAUUUCUGAAGUAGCCUUCACUUAGAGUGGCAUUUUAGUUAGUUUGAGCUACACUUCCUCUUUAAUGGCUUGAUAUGCUUUAUUAUGUUUUUUGGUCAAACUAGAUUUUGUUGUAGCCAUGGUGAUCUCGCUUUCUUCUUCUUUUUGUCAACAAGUACAAUGUGAAAUGUAUUUCUGCUUCUUGUGACUGCCACUGAAAGAAGCACCUUGGACUUGUUCAUAGACAUUCCAAGCAAGUCCUUUUUUGACCAUAUACUAUAUGCUAACGAAGGCUAAUGGAUAUCUUAUAGUCAUCCGUUUUUCUCCUGUUUUUUCUCUUCUAGGUUACCGCCCAUUUGUCGAAGCAUGUGUUGAUGCAGAUGAGAAAGGCGAAGCACUAAAGUACAUACCAAAGCUGACUGAUCCUCGUGAAAGAGCAGAGGUUAGUGUUGUAUAUGUUAUGAUAUUUCCACAUUUGGUCUACAGACAUGUUUGACAUGGCAUGUAGUCCCGCAUAGUUUUAAGUUUGAGUUUUGAACUUUACCCACAUGUGGUCACUAUCCCUGCUGAGAUGAUUUUGCUAACAAAUGAAUUUACUAUAGAAAAAGUAGUUACUCCCUUUUCUUUUCACCUAUGCUUGUGAAAAGCUUGGGUACUUAUAUCUUUACUGGCUAGAAAAAAACAUUUAGCCUUAUACCUCUAAAAUGCUUUGCAUUAGUCCAAAAUGAUUGCAUUUCCGUUUUGUAGCAAUGUGUUUAAAUGAAAGAAUACCUUUAUUGUUUUGUACAUAAACCCAGAAAGACAUACAAAUCUAUAUUGUACCUUUGUUGGUUCACAGUCAUCUGGCAGUAUUAUGUGACUUGUUCAAAUCCUGACUUGUGAACCAAGCUUGGUAUUUAAGCAUAGGGUAGUAGAGGGACUCACCCUUUAUCGUCCUAGUUUUUUUUAUCUUUGUACAUCGGCUUGGUUUCAAAGUUGGAAACAACAGAGUUCCUGGUUGAAGAUAAAAAAAAAGAAGGUACUUUUGUCUGUUUAUUUCAAUAAGCAAGUACGGCAUAGACUGGAUAUCAGAAGGAUGCAUAUCUUAAGAUAUCCGCAUUCACUUUUUAAUGUAAUAUUCCGGAUCACAGUCUGAUUGAUUUUAAUCCCUGUAGUAUCAUAAGUUCCUUCAUUUUCCACCCUAAAAGGAAGAGAGGAAGAGUAAACUGAUUCUGAAGUGUCAAUAGACGUAGGAUUAAAUAGUCAACUGUAAAGGUGCAUUGCUGUAUCAAUUAAGGUGAUGGGUGUCAUGCUUAUGAGAUCUAUGAAUCAUUAACAGGCUUAUGCUCGAAUCGGAAUGGCCAAGGAGGCUGCUGAUGCUGCUACUCAGGCUAAAGAUAAUGAAUUACUUGGGAGGUUGAAGCAGACUUUUUCUCAAAAUGCAGCCGCUUCAUCAAUAUUUGACACACUGCGAGAUCGGUUAUCCUUCCCAAGUGUUUCUUGAUGCCAGCCAUCUCCUUGAUCCCCUCCCUUUGGUGUGAAGCCUCUUGUUGUUACGCAUCUUCUAAAUUAAUAUGAUUGAGGAUUGGUAGCAUUGGAGUAAUGCUGUUCCACAGCACGAUAAAAGAAGCCCUUGGAACCCGUCCGCUGCAUAUCCUCUCUCCUUACCUGUUUUUUCUAUGUAUCCGUGGCAUUUGAGGUUGUGGAAAUGUUUGAAUCCGGCAAUGAUUCCUUGUGUGUUGUUCUACACCCUGUAAAUAGCUUGGCUGGAAAUGAUAUAUGAAAGCAUGUGCUGAUGUUUCUCCCUGAAUUGGUAACAACUUGCUAUUUAAAGCUAGUAUCAAGUGAUUGAUAGUUUGAUACUGAGUGGACAAUUCAUAUUGUGUUUGUGUAUCUGUACUGAGUGAUUUGAUGAGUAUCUAAUUUCUUUGUUUUAA
RNAcentral lists this long non-coding RNA (18195 nucleotides) under Solanum tuberosum (potato). RNAcentral's name for it is "long non-coding RNA (STUB_LNC007707)". The record is from RNAcentral. Lineage: Eukaryota; Viridiplantae; Streptophyta; Magnoliopsida; Solanales; Solanaceae.